GAUGAACGCUGGCGGCAUGCUUAACACGUGCAAGUCGAACGGGAAGUGGUGUUUCCAGUGGCGAACGGGUGAGUAACGCGUAAGAACCUGCCCUUGGGAGGGGAACAACAACUGGAAACGGUUGCUAAUACCCCGUAGGCUGAGGAGCAAAAGGAGAAAUCCGCCCAAGGAGGGGCUCGCGUCUGAUUAGCUAGUUGGUGAGGUAAUAGCUUACCAAGGCGAUGAUCAGUAGCUGGUCCGAGAGGAUGAUCAGCCACACUGGGACUGAGACACGGCCCAGACUCCUACGGGAGGCAGCAGUGGGGAAUUUUCCGCAAUGGGCGAAAGCCUGACGGAGCAAUGCCGCGGGGAGGUGGAAGGCCUACGGGUCGUCAACUUCUUUUCUCGGAGAAGAAACAAUGACGGUAUCUGAGGAAUAAGCAUCGGCUAACUCUGUG
Molecule: ribosomal RNA, 437 nt
Filed under: uncultured bacterium
Lineage: Bacteria
Description: partial 16S ribosomal RNA
Rfam family: Bacterial small subunit ribosomal RNA
Source: RNAcentral